Molecule: ribosomal RNA, 500 nt
Filed under: uncultured bacterium
Lineage: Bacteria
Description: partial 16S ribosomal RNA
Rfam family: Bacterial small subunit ribosomal RNA
Source: RNAcentral
AUUGAACGCUGGCGGCAUGCCUUACACAUGCAAGUCGAACGGCAGCGCGGGAGCAAUCCUGGCGGCGAGUGGCGAACGGGUGAGUAAUAUAUCGGAACGUGCCCAGUAGUGGGGGAUAGCCCGGCGAAAGCCGGAUUAAUACCGCAUACGAACUGAGGGUGAAAGGGGGGGAUCGCAAGACCUCUCGCUAUUGGAGCGGUCGAUAUCAGAUUAGGUAGUUGGUGGGGUAAGGGCCUACCAAGCCUGCGAUCUGUAGUUGGUCUGAGAGGACGACCAGCCACACUGGGACUGAGACACGGCCCAGACCCCUACGGGAGGCAGCAGUGGGGAAUUUUGGACAAUGGGCGCAAGCCUGAUCCAGCAAUGCCGCGUGCAGGAAGAAGGCCUUCGGGUUGUAAACUGCUUUUGUCAGGGAAGAAAUCCUCUAGGCUAAUACCUUGGGGGGAUGACGGUACCUGAAGAAUAAGCACCGGCUAACUACGUGCCAGCCGCCGCCGUAA